AGUAACGGCGAGUGAAGCGGCAAUAGCUCAAAUUUGAAAUCUGGCUCUUUUAGGGUCCGAGUUGUAAUUUGCAGAGGGCGCUUUGGCGUUGGCAGCGGUCCAAGUUCUUUGGAACAGGACGUCACAGAGGGUGAGAAUCCCGUACGUGGUCGCUAUCCUUCGCCGUGUAAAGCCCCUUCGACGAGUCGAGUUGUUUGGGAAUGCAGCUCUAAAUGGGAGGUAAAUUUCUUCUAAAGCUAAAUACUGGCCAGAGACCGAUAGCGCACAAGUAGAGUGAUCGAAAGAUGAAAAGCACUUUGGAAAGAGAGUCAAAUAGCACGUGAAAUUGUUGAAAGGGAAGCGCUUGCAGCCAGACUUGCCUGUAGUUGCUUAUCCAGACUUUUGUCUGGUGCACUCUUCUGCGGGCAGGCCAGCAUCAGUUUGGGCGGUUAGAUAAAGGUCUCUGUCAUGUACCUCUCUUCGGGGAGGCCUUAUAGGGGAGACGACAUGUAACCAGCCUGGACUGAGGUCCGCGCAUCUGCUAGGAUGCUGGCGUAAUGGCUGUAAGCGGCCCGUCUUGAAACACGGACCAAGGAGUCUAACAUCUAUGCGAGUGUUUGGGUGUCAAGCCCAGACGCGUAAUGAAAGUGAACGGAGGUAAGAACCCUUUGGGUGCAUUAUCGACCGAUCCUGAUGUCUUCGGAAGGAUUUGAGUAAGAGCAUGGCUGUUGGGACCCGAAAGAUGGUGAACUAUGCUUGAAUAGGGUGAAGCCAGAGGAAACUCUGGUGGAGGCUCGCAGCGGUUCUGACGUGCAAAUCGAUCGUCAAAUUUGGGCAUAGGGGCGAAAGAC
RNAcentral lists this ribosomal RNA (830 nucleotides) under Leptosphaeria modesta. Its description in RNAcentral is "eukaryotic LSU rRNA". It matches the Rfam family "Eukaryotic large subunit ribosomal RNA", at positions 82 to 931 of the family's 3401-position model. Lineage: Eukaryota; Fungi; Ascomycota; Dothideomycetes; Pleosporales; Leptosphaeriaceae. The record is from RNAcentral.